UAAAGCUUAGUGGCAAAGCACUUGCCUAGCAUGCAUGCAGCCCUGAGUUCAAUCCUCAGUA
Molecule: transfer RNA, 61 nt
Filed under: Dipodomys ordii (Ord's kangaroo rat)
Lineage: Eukaryota; Metazoa; Chordata; Mammalia; Rodentia; Heteromyidae
Rfam family: tRNA
About the family: Transfer RNA (tRNA) molecules are approximately 80 nucleotides in length. Their secondary structure includes four short double-helical elements and three loops (D, anti-codon, and T loops).
Source: Rfam by way of RNAcentral